This is a long non-coding RNA of Oncorhynchus keta (chum salmon), 1187 nucleotides long. RefSeq lists it as uncharacterized. Lineage: Eukaryota; Metazoa; Chordata; Actinopteri; Salmoniformes; Salmonidae. The transcript has 3 exons. The record is from RefSeq and is a predicted model, not a curated record.
AAUCCCAUCGCUCUCCCUCUCUCUCCUGCAGGUUGAAGUGAGUGUGAUGUUGUAUAAUCUGAAAGGAGGAGAUGCUACAGUGCCCUCCUGCAGGUUGAAGUGAGUGUGAUGUUGUAUAAUCUGAAAGGAGGAGAUGCUACAGUGCCCUCCUGCAGGUUGAAGUGAGUGUGAUGUUGUAUAAUCUGAAAGGAGGAGAUGCUACAGUGCCCUCCUGCAGGUUGAAGUGAGUGUGAUGUUGUAUAAUCUGAAAGGAGGAGAUGCUACAGUGCCCUCCUGCAGGUUGAAGUGAGUGUGAUGUUGUAUAAUCUGAAAGGAGGAGAUGCUACAGUGCCCUCCUGCAGGUUGAAGUGAGUGUGAUGUUGUAUAAUCUGAAAGGAGGAGAUGCUACAGUGCCCUCCUGCAGGUUGAAGUGAGUGUGAUGUUGUAUAAUCUGAAAGGAGGAGAUGCUACAGUGCCCUCCUGCAGGUUGAAGUGAGUGUGAUGUUGUAUAAUCUGAAAGGAGGAGAUGCUACAGUGCCCUCCUGCAGGUUGAAGUGAGUGUGAUGUUGUAUAAUCUGAAAGGAGGAGAUGCUACAGUGCCCUCCUGCAGGUUGAAGUGAGUGUGAUGUUGUAUAAUCUGAAAGGAGGAGAUGCUACAGUCCCCUCCUGCAGGUUGAAGUGAGUGUGAUGUUGUAUAAUCUGAAAGGAGGAGAUGCUACAGUGCCCUCCUGCAGGUUGAAGUGAGUGUGAUGUUGUAUAAUCUGAAAGGAGGAGAUGCUACAGUGCCCUCCUGCAGGUUGAAGUGAGUGUGAUGUUGUAUAAUCUGAAAGGAGGAGAUGCUACAGUCCCCUCCUGCAGGUUGAAGUGAGUGUGAUGUUGUAUAAUCUGAAAGGAGGAGAUGCUACAGUUCUGCCCUCCUGCAGGUUGAAGUGAGUGUAAUGUUGUUUAAUCUGAAAGGAGGAGAUGCUACAGUUCUGCCCUCCUGCAGAACUAGGCUAGUAGUUAGUUUCACCAGACAGCAAGACACCUCAUGGAGAAGUCUGCACUGUGCCACUACUCUGAUAUACAAAGGUUUCCUGUCGCUCAGCACAUCUCGAACACCUGUUAAAAUGUAUGUCUUAAUAGAUUACACACACACCCUCAGCAUACAGCGUUAAUGAGGCGUGCACACACACACACACACACACACACACACACACACACACACA